ACUGUAAGGUUGAGCAGCGAGCGGCGGCGGCGGCCGGUACGCGGGUUCGCCGCCAGGCAGGCGUAGGUGCCUGCGUGGCCCGGUCCGACCGCGGGCAGCAGGAGGCGCGACCCCGCGGGCACCGCGGCCUCGGCCGGGUCCGCCAGGCUCCACGUGAUGUCGGCGGGCGGCCGCGAGGCGGCGGCGCAGCGCAAGGUCACGUUACUGCCCGCGGUGACAAAGCGGGCAGGCGCGGCGUCGCGGUCCGAGGAGACCGUGAUGGUCGGCGGGUCCGGGCCGUCUGGAGGGAGGAGGGGUCGGGACCGCGAGUGUCAGGGUCACCUGGGACGCCGCUAGGACUCCCGGAGACUGGGUCCCCAGCCCGCUUCUCCCCAAGGACCCCCUGUCCCCGACCCGAGGCAUCCCCCACUCACAGAAGACGCUGACGUCGGCGGCAGCCUCCCUGUGGCCGAAGGGGCUGCGGACGCGGCAAGUGUACCGGGCGUGGUCGCUGCGCACAGGGCGCACGAUGAGCAGCUGGUCGCCCUCUGAGCGCAUCCGGGGCGUCUCGGCUCCCUCCGAUUCCGCCGCCUCCAGGGCGCGUCCGUCCCGGCUCCAGCUCAGCUCCCCGCGACCUGGCCCCCACCCCAGGCAGCGCAGCCGGAGCUCGGCCGCCCCCUCCUCUGUCUCUGGAGCCUUGGGCUGAACCGACAGCUGGGGGACCCCACAGCACCGUGACUUGCCCAAAGCCUGGCAGAGCAGAGCAGCCCCUGCCGCCUGCACGCCGGACGCCAGGGCCCACUUACCAUACACACCCACCGUGAACUCGUGAGUCUGCUGGGAGACCCCUGCCCGGAUGACCUCAGCCGUGUAGACCCCUGCAUCGUCCAGCUGGGCAGAGGCGAGCUCCAGAACCCCCCGGGCCUGGUCAAAUCGCAGGUGGUCUCGGAACUUGAGGAUCCGAAAUAUCAGGAAAUACUUCAGAACCAGGGGUUUCAGAGAAGGGGGAAACCGGGCUCAAAUCUUGGCCCUCAGCAGAAACAUUUGACCAGAAGGACCCAGACAUGUUGGAACUCAGGGCCUCAGGAAACCAGCUGGAAUCAGAGAUUCCAGCAGAGGCUUUUGAAUCCAGGAACUGAUCUGGAACUUUCCAGCUGGGAGGUUUGAUGGAGGGAACUUCCACACCCAGCCCCUGGGAAGAGCUCUUUGAGUCUGAAGAGAAGGCAGAGGAGAAGUUGGUUUGCUGAAGUCCAGAAGAGGCUCUGAGGGUGAGGAUCCCUACCAAGGAGGCUGCAGAGAAGAGAGGAAGGCAUUGGGGGAGGCUGCUGAGGGAGACUGACAGGGAAGGGACUGAGCAGGGAACUUACCCAGGAGUAGGAAGAGUGGCAGAGCCUGUGGGUUGUCCAUGGUGCUGGCCUCACUGAAAGGACACUGGAGAGAGACCCAGGACUGCACCCAUCCCUCCCGGGUCAGACGAGUCCAACAGGACUGGUAGCUUAGCUUCCUGGGAGGGGAAGGGAGCCAGACCCAGAGGGAGGUGCCAAGAUCCUCAACCCCAGUGUGGUGGCUGAGCUGCCCACCUCAUCCCACUCUCUUCAUUAGCUGGUCCCAUCUGCAGAGAGGCCCAGCCUGAUCCCUGCCCUCCCCACCCCCAGGGGGAAGCUGGAGAAAACAUUCCCAGCUAAAAAUGUGGGAGCAAAUUUGUGAGACAAAGCCAGGAAGACUUCCUGGAGGAGGGUGAGGUGACCUUUCCGAGAGCCCCACCUCUGAUGGCCACAGCUUCAGAGCAGGCUUCCUCCUCCCCAGCCUCCUGGCUCCUUCCACUCUGUCUUGCCUGCAGCCUCAGAUACAUCUGACCCUGCUCCUCCUCUGCUCCAAACCCUCCCACGGCUCUCUGUUGCCCUCAGAACCAAGUCUCCAGGUGCUAUCUCCUGCCAGGGCCUCUAUCCUGAGACCAGAGCUGCAUUUCCGCAUCCCCGAGGCCCUCACAUGGCCUGUGUCCCGCUAAACUCAGACUCUUUCCUCUAACCCAAACUUCCUCACACCUCCAGGAUGGCUUCACUGUCUUCGCAAAUGCUGGAGAACAUUCCCACCUCCUCCCUCCCUGUCACCACUGUCGAUCUGAGUCCAACCCUCCUCCCCCUAGUUCUCACUGGCCAGGCUCUGUCUUCUCUUCCUGCCCCGUCUCCCUCCUCUGCCCAGUCUCCUCCAUUCCCUGCCAGGGUCCUUCUAUACCCAGAGCUGAACCUGCCUCCCCCUGCUCACAGCCCUCCCCUGGCUCCCCAGUGCCCUCUGGAGACAUCCAAGGUUCAAAGCAAACUCAUGCACAGCCCCCACUCAAGCACUUGAACAUCCUGCCAUUCUUAUCCUGCCCGCCCAUCUCACCUCCCAGUCCUCUACCUGGAAUGCUCUCUCCCACUCUCCACCUCCCUCCAACCUGGCUAAACCACAACUUGUCCUUCAGGUCUCACCUUAUUAAGAACCAUAAUUACCACUUAAUUUGAGCCAGGAACUACGCUAAAUGUUUCCUAUGCACUAUCAGGCUGAACACUUCUAAACACCCUAUAAGCUGAGUGUCAUUAUACUCACUUUGCAGGCCAGGGGACUUAGGCUCAGAGAGGUCAAGGGACCUGCAGGAGGUUGCACAGCCAGAGGGAGAAGCUGGACUUGGGACCAGGAUGGUCAGACCAUUGACUCCUUCUGAUAGCUUUUCCCACCAUCCCAUGUGGAGCUUAGGGCCUCUGCUCAGCUCCCAGUCCUCUAAGCUUACCCUGGCCCAGUUCUCACCAGUAAUAAUACUGGUAAUAUAUAUAUAUUUUGAGAUGGAGUCUCGUUCUGUCACCCAGUGAGUGCCUCAGCUCACUGCAGGCUCCAUCUCCCGGGUUCAAGUGAUUCUCCCGUCUCAGCCUCUGCAGCAGCUGGGAGUAUAGGUGUGCAUCACCACACCAGGCUAAUUUUUGUUAUUUUUAGGAGAGAUGGGGUUUUGCCAUGUUGGCCAGGCUUAUCAUGAACUCCUGACCUCAAGUGAUCUGCCCGCCUCAGCCUCCCAGUGUUGGGAUUACAGGCGUGAGCCACCGUGCCCGGACUAAUAUUGGUAAUAAUAUAUAUUUAGCAUUUUUUGCAUAGCAGGUGUGGUUAUGGGGGUGCUACAUAAAUUAACCUUUCAAAACUCCAUGGAGUAGAUGAUGUAGCUUAAAGAGGGCUGCAAAUUUGAGCGUCCUCCUGUUAAGAUGCGGGGUCUAUGUCCCCUCUGCUUGGAUCUGAGUAGCUGUGUGACUGCUGGACCAAGACGUGGAAGUGGCCCUGUGCCAGGAUCUGCAUCUAGGCCGGCAUAUGCCACUUUCUGUAUCAUAGGACACUCCCUCAUGGAAUCCAGCCGCCACACUGCGAGGAUCAGCAGCCCCAUGGAGGGGAAUCAUGGCCCCUGGUCAGCAGCCCCAGCCAGCUUGCUGGCUAUGUGGGUGAGCCCUCUUGGAAGUCAAUCCCCUGGCCCCAUUUGAGGCACAUGAACUGAUCCUGAACUGGAUCCAGGAAUGGAUCCAGUGGGAUUUGACCCAGGGCCCUGGGACCCAGAACCCAUACCCUUAACCUCUACAUGAUGCUGUUACUAUUUUCAUCUGCAGAUGAGGCAACUGAAACUCAAAAUAGGAAGGAACUCACCCAAGAUCUAGCUGGCAAAGGUAAGAGUGAGCAUAUGAAAUCAAUAUAUCUGACUCUAUCAGAAGGCCAGAGGAAUGGAACACAAUUUUUUAAAUAAAAAAUUAGUCCAGGCGCUGUGGCUCACGCUUGUAAUCCCAGCACUUUGAGAGGCUGAGGCGGGCGGAUCACUUGAGGUCAGGAGUUCAAGACAGCCUGGGCAACAUGGUGAAACCCCGUCUCUACUAAAAGUACAAAAAUUAGCCGGGUGUGGUGGUGCAAGCCUGGGCAACAGAGCGAGACUCUGUCUCAAAAAACAUAAUUAAAAAAAAAUUAACCUGACUGUAGACCCAGGCUGUUCAUUGCAACGCUAAGUUUUGAUUCUCUGUGGCUUGUCUGUCUCACACCAGAACCACAGCUUCUGGCCUCAUUCUCUCCUGUGUCCCUGCUGAGACUGGGGACACAAGAGAGAAUGAGUGUCCUGCAAACAUCGUGGAUAAAAGCCCUUCUUCUCACCCACCUCACUGAUAUUUGUGUUCCAACACUCAACUUGGAAGUCAUCUCCCUGGGAAAUCUCUGACCCCACCGGCUGGGCCAGGCCAGGUCCCCCAGUUGGGUUCCCAAGGGCCCAGUGUGCCUCCACGUCUAGCAUACUUCACCCCGAAUUACAGCUGCCUUUGUCCUCAUUGUCCCCCGCAUCAAUACAGAGGCUCCUCAUGGGCAGGGACUGGAUCCACAGGGCCUGGCACACAAAAGACUCAAGUAAAUGUUGAAUGAACCAAAUAAUGGGUCUCUAGGAAAUAAGUUAACAGAGAUAGAUGUUGAGAGUCAGUUUUAUUGCCAUCUCUGGGAGGGGCUCAAAUCCGCCCAAUCUCCUUCAGCUUGGCCACCAGGUCCUCAGUGGUCUCCACCUUGACGCCGGCCGUGCGCUGGGGCGGGUCCUCCACACUGAUCACAGAGAGCUUGGAGGUCAGGUCCACACCCAGGUCCCCAGGCUUGAUCACCUCGAUCUUCUUCUUCUUGGCUUUCUGCACAUGGGAAGCCAUUGUUCACAGGGCUGUGGAACUCCUGCCACCCUUCCUGCCACCUCCUUCCCAUGGGUGCCAGGCCUGCAGACCAGUCCCAUGGGCUGAACCCUCUGGACCCACCCACUGGCCAGGACACGCGAAACUUCUCACAGGGCCACACCUGGUGUGGACAACUCCUGCUGGCUAGGAGGCCCUGGGAGGCCCAACUACUGCAGCAGUCCUCCUUUAGGUAACCAAAUCAGGAAGCCCUUCACUGGCUGCAACAGAGUGGCAAACCCAUCCUUUUGGUAGUAAUGACUCAGUGGACUUUUGGUUGAGAUGGCAUGCUGAAGGCUCCCAAUAGGCUGAGAUGAUGCACUGAACCCUCCCUAUAGACUGAGAUGAUGCG
RNAcentral lists this long non-coding RNA (5031 nucleotides) under Homo sapiens (human). Its description in RNAcentral is "HSALNT0398568". The record is from RNAcentral. Lineage: Eukaryota; Metazoa; Chordata; Mammalia; Primates; Hominidae.